ACGCUCGACACCUACGGGAGGCAGCAGUGGGGAAUAUUGGGCAAUGGGCGGCAAGCCUGACCCAGCAACGCCGCGUGAAGGAUGAAGGCUUUCGGGUUGUAAACUUCUUUUAUUCGGGACGAAGAAAAUGACGGUACCGAAUGAAUAAGCCACGGCUAACUACGUGCCAACAGCCGCGGUAAUCUGAGCGGGCUGGCAAGGC
RNAcentral lists this ribosomal RNA (202 nucleotides) under uncultured bacterium. RNAcentral describes it as "partial 16S ribosomal RNA". It matches the Rfam family "Bacterial small subunit ribosomal RNA", at positions 328 to 539 of the family's 1533-position model. The record is from RNAcentral.